CAAUAGCGUAUAUUAAAGUUGUUGCAGUUAAAAAGCUCGUAGUUGGAUUUCGGGACGGGCCAGUUGGUCCGCCGCAAGGUGUGUUACUGACUGGUCUGUUCUUCUUCGCAAAGACUGCGUGUGCUCUUCGUUGAGUGUGCGUAGGAUUUACGACGUUUACUUUGAAAAAAUUAGAGUGUUCAAAGCAGGCUAUCGCUUGAAUACAUGAGCAUGGAAUAAUGGAAUAGGACUUUGGUCCUAUUUUGUUGGUUUCUAGGACCGAAGUAAUGAUUAAGAGGGACAAUUGGGGGCAUCCGUAUUUCGCUGUCAGAGGUGAAAUUCUUGGAUUUACGAAAGACGAACAACUGCGAAAGCACUUGCCAAGAGUGUUUUCAUUAA
RNAcentral lists this ribosomal RNA (378 nucleotides) under uncultured eukaryote. RNAcentral's name for it is "partial 18S ribosomal RNA". It matches the Rfam family "Eukaryotic small subunit ribosomal RNA", at positions 592 to 976 of the family's 1831-position model. The record is from RNAcentral.